Long non-coding RNA from Balaenoptera acutorostrata (minke whale), 880 nucleotides. RefSeq lists it as uncharacterized. NCBI's taxonomy places the organism in Eukaryota, Metazoa, Chordata, Mammalia, Artiodactyla, Balaenopteridae. The record is from RefSeq and is a predicted model, not a curated record. The transcript is spliced from 5 exons.
CCCCGAUUCGAGCGACCAUCGAGACAUUGGGGCCUCCGCGGCGCCUAGAGGGGACGCAGAAGUGCCUCUGAGGUGUCAAACUUAGAGAAGACUGAGGAGCCAACAGAGAUGGAAGGAGACUAAUAAGAGGACAAAGGCAAUCAAAUGCAAUACGAAAUCUGCUUGGACAUCAGUGAAGAAGCUCGUGAAAUGUGACUGUCCUGGAGGCCUCAGGGCAUGUGUGGGUGGCAGAAUAGAGACCCACAGAGUGCCUGGAGCACAAUGGUAUGUGGAGCUGAGAGCCAUGAGGAUUCCCGCCAACCACAGGUGGUGGAGGAGCUGAAAAGCAGUAGCUGCAGCCAGGUGCUGGAGAAGUACGACUCCUUCUCCACCAAGGUUCGAUGAAAUCGCUGGGGGCUUUGACCAGCUCCCCCAGGCCCUGCAUGCUGCCCUCUUGCCCGGGACAGUCCAGCUCCACUCGCCAGCAGAGGAGGUAGAAUCAUCCGGAGACCACGUCCACAUCACCUACCGAACGCCUGACCCUCUGCAGACCAGGGUACAUCUGACCGCCGAUGACCUGAUUGUGGCCACCACAACCAAGGCUGCCUGUUUCCGGCCACCUCUCUCCCAUGGCAAGGAGGACGCACUGCGAUCCGUCCACUACAGCAGUGCCACCAAAGUGAUCCUGACCCGCACGAAGCAUUUCUGGGAGCACAAAGGCAUCUUAGGGGGCAAGUCCAGCACCAACCAGCCUUCCGCUUCAUCUUCUACGCCAACCACAUCUUUCCCAACGGCACAGGGGUCAUCCUGGCCUCCUAUACCCUGGACGAUGACUCCUCUUUCUUCGUUGUCAUGGACGUGCCUGGGCAAUUGAUAUUGUCCUGGACGACCUGGCAGUAGU